GAAACUGGGUCUAAUACCGGAUAGGAGCGUCUACCGCAUGGUGGGUGUUGGAAAGAUUUAUCGGUUUUGGAUGGACUCGCGGCCUAUCAGCUUGUUGGUGAGGUAAUGGCUCACCAAGGCGACGACGGGUAGCCGGCCUGAGAGGGUGACCGGCCACACUGGGACUGAGACACGGCCCAGACUCCUACGGGAGGCAGCAGUGGGGAAUAUUGCACAAUGGGCGAAAGCCUGAUGCAGCGACGCCGCGUGAGGGAUGACGGCCUUCGGGUUGUAAACCUCUUUCAGUAGGGAAGAAGCGAAAGUGACGGUACCUGCAGAAGAAGCACCGGCUAACUACGUGCCAGCAGCCGCGGUAAUACGUAGGGUGCGAGCGUUAUCCGGAAUUAUUGGGCGUAAAGAGCUCGUAGGCGGUUUGUCGCGUCUGUCGUGAAAGUCCGGGGCUUAACCCCGGAUCUGCGGUGGGUACGGGCAGACUAGAGUGCAGUAGGGGAGACUGGAAUUCCUGGUGUAGCGGUGGAAUGCGCAGAUAUCAGGAGGAACACCGAUGGCGAAGGCAGGUCUCUGGGCUGUAACUGACGCUGAGGAGCGAAAGCAUGGGGAGCGAACAGGAUUAGAUACCCUGGUAGUCCAUGCCGUAAACGUUGGGCACUAGGUGUGGGGACCAUUCCACGGUUUCCGCGCCGCAGCUAACGCAUUAAGUGCCCCGCCUGGGGAGUACGGCCGCAAGGCUAAAACUCAAAGGAAUUGACGGGGGCCCGCACAAGCGGCGGAGCAUGCGGAUUAAUUCGAUGCAACGCGAAGAACCUUACCAAGGCUUGACAUGUUCUCGAUCGCCGUAGAGAUACGGUUUCCCCUUUGGGGCGGGUUCACAGGUGGUGCAUG
RNAcentral lists this ribosomal RNA (882 nucleotides) under uncultured Micrococcus sp. RNAcentral describes it as "bacterial SSU rRNA". It matches the Rfam family "Bacterial small subunit ribosomal RNA", at positions 153 to 1047 of the family's 1533-position model. Lineage: Bacteria; Bacillati; Actinomycetota; Actinomycetes; Micrococcales; Micrococcaceae. The record is from RNAcentral.